CUUGAUGGAGCCGAGCAGCAGCGGCCGCUCCGGGUCGCGGCCCUGGCCGUAGGUGGCGAGCAGGGCCUGCGCCUC
Non-coding RNA from Streptomyces sp., 75 nucleotides. It matches the Rfam family "ASpks TB sRNA". The record is from Rfam. NCBI's taxonomy places the organism in Bacteria, Bacillati, Actinomycetota, Actinomycetes, Kitasatosporales, Streptomycetaceae.